RNAcentral lists this ribosomal RNA (485 nucleotides) under uncultured Nocardioides sp. RNAcentral's name for it is "partial 16S ribosomal RNA". Lineage: Bacteria; Bacillati; Actinomycetota; Actinomycetes; Propionibacteriales; Nocardioidaceae. The record is from RNAcentral.
CACGUAGUUGGCCGGUCCUUCUUCUGCACAUACCGUCACUUGCGCUUCGUCUGUGCUGAAAGAGGUUUACAACCCGAAGGCCGUCAUCCCUCACGCGGCGUUGCUGGAUCAGGCUUCCGCCCAUUGUCCAAUAUUCCCCACUGCUGCCUCCCGUAGGAGUCUGGGCCGUGUCUCAGUCCCAGUGUGGCCGGUCACCCUCUCAGGCCGGCUACCCGUCGAAGCCUUGGUAGGCCAUUACCCCACCAACAAGCUGAUAGGCCGCGAGCACAUCCCUGGCCGAAAAAACUUUCCACACACGCACCAUGCAGUGAUGUGUCGUAUCCGGUAUUAAUCACCGUUUCCGGUGGCUAUCCCGAAGCCAAGGGCAGAUUACUCACGUGUUACUCACCCGUUCGCCGCUCGAGUACCCCCGAAGGAGCCUUUCCGCUCGACUUGCAUGUGUUAAGCACGCCGCCAGCGUUCGUCCUGAGCCAGGAUCAAACUCU